CGAACGCUGGCGGCGUGCUUAACACAUGCAAGUCGAACGGAAAGGCCCUGCUUUUGUGGGGUGCUCGAGUGGCGAACGGGUGAGUAACACGUGAGUAACCUGCCCUUGACUUUGGGAUAACUUCAGGAAACUGGGGCUAAUACCGGAUAGGAGCUCCUGCUGCAUGGUGGGGGUUGGAAAGUUUCGGCGGUUGGGGAUGGACUCGCGGCUUAUCAGCUUGUUGGUGGGGUAGUGGCUUACCAAGGCUUUGACGGGUAGCCGGCCUGAGAGGGUGACCGGCCACAUUGGGACCGAGAUACGGCCCAGACUCCUACAGGAGGCAGCAGUGGGGAAUAUUGCACAAUGGGCGGAAGCCUGAUGCAGCAACGCCGCGUGCGGGAUGACGGCCUUCGGGUUGUAAACCGCUUUCGCCUGUGACGAAGCGUGAGUGACGGUAAUGGGUAAAGAAGCACCGGCUAACUACGUG
This 466-nucleotide ribosomal RNA is filed under the name uncultured bacterium. Its description in RNAcentral is "partial 16S ribosomal RNA". It matches the Rfam family "Bacterial small subunit ribosomal RNA", at positions 30 to 507 of the family's 1533-position model. The record is from RNAcentral.